RNAcentral lists this unclassified non-coding RNA (2801 nucleotides) under Hevea brasiliensis (rubber tree). The record is from RNAcentral. Lineage: Eukaryota; Viridiplantae; Streptophyta; Magnoliopsida; Malpighiales; Euphorbiaceae.
AAAAGAUUUUUGACGCAACCUGAAGUCUUCAAAUUAUAAUAUAAUUAAAUUUUGUAACCUGGACUUCCGUAUCUUUUCACCGUCUUCCUAAUAUAUUCUCCCCCACAAGAAACCUCUUGUUAUUGAUCCAAGUACCAUAGCCCAGCUUCCACAGAAAAUUGUGCUCAGGACAACAAGAAUCAAGAACAAGUCAGGUAAUCGAUGCACAAAAUCCAACCAAUAUAUAUAUGUUAAAAAAGGGAGAGGAAAUCUGUGUAAAUGAGGAAUCACAAGAAAUCAAAUGGGACACACGUUCUAAAACGUACCAGCAUGAUUGAUUCACUUUCCAUUAAUAUAAAAAUUCCCUGGUCCCAGUAGAUAAAAAAGAAAGAAUAAGGACAAAAGUAUGCAUAUCAUUCAAGAACAUUGACAAGGAACACACGUUGUCUUGGUAUCAAGUGGAUCCAGAAAGUGGACAAUCUCCUUUUGCUUUUCUAUCACAAAAACUUCUGCUAUCAAUCUAAAAUGAAAAGGAGGGAAAAUUCCAAUUACUAUUUAGCAAAAUAAAAAUAUUACAUGAACAGUAGCAUUUACUAUUUCUCAAAACUAUGUCCUAUUAUAGUCAAAUCUCACAUUCUUCAAAUUUGGACUCUCUUCAUACAAAUGCAGACUAGGGAAGAUUCUACGCCUGAAAGUACAUUACCGAAAGAUAUAUUUCAUUCCAUCAAUGCAUUAAUCAGAUACAAUGACUAGCAUCACACCCUGCACUGUUACCAGCUUCUCAAACCAAUUUAACUCUUUAGAGAUUCAAAGGAUAAAAAACAAAAGAUACGCUACCACCAUCUAAAACAAUUCACUAAAAAGUAGAGUAGGAGAGAUUACUCCAGACUGGCUACUAAUUAAAGACAGGUAAACAAAAAUGUUCACUGUUUAAUCAUUCAACUAUGACAAAGAAAACUCCUCACCAUUGCAAACACUCAGUAUUAGAUGGGACUGAGAUAAUUAGCAAAUCUACCUGUCAUCAACAGAAAGAAGGCAUAAGUCUCUAGAUAUAUACUUCAGUGAAUACGGAAAUGCAAUUGAAAUCGGCAUGUAAACAAGAUAAUCUUGAUGCUUUUUAUAUUUUCUGCUAUUUGCAAUCAUUGUUUUACAUGAAAAUACAAAUAUUUAUUUCUGCUACUUAAAUUGAGAGUAAACUGCAUCCUAUCCAGCUCAGUAAGCUGACAACUUCAUAUCUGAACCAUAGCCAGUUUUAAUUCAUUUCAAUUCUUUCAACGGAGCUAAAUCCACUUGUUAGAUCUUUUACUAUAUGGUAUAAUGGGUAAUGCCAAAUAAAAGCUAAUACAUCCCCUACUUAUGCAAACAGAAUCUCACCAGUUUCAAAAUGAUUUGAAUUUCUAAAAUACAAUUGGUAAAUUGCUUGAUCUUUUAAUAACAGAAAGUCACUAAUCUUUCUAAGUAUAUGGCACUUUGGUACUUGCACCCAAACCAGAGGAAGGGUUAAAGCCUCCAUUAAUUCAUGGACUAAGAAAGUUGUUCUUAAAAUAGUAAUUUCCUUGAUGCAAAUGGUUGGUGCCCAAAUUUCAAAGAUAGGAAAAUCCAUAGACUGGCUCUUUCUAGGGAUAUAAGUAGCAAUUUAUAUAGGAGAAAAAACUGACAAAUCAUGAUCGUAUUCUUUUUCCUAUUGAAGUUAAUCAGCAUUUUAAAUAAUUUGUUAGCAACUAGGAGUUUUUUCUUUCUAUGUUAUAGACUAUAAUCUUCUUGUUCCAGAUCCCUGAUUCAUAACAAUGCAUUGUUUUCACAAUUCUGCUCUUUAACUAUUUAACUUUUGUCAACUCAACUAUGCUUUCUUUAUUCUAUUCUUUCCAAGGCAACCAUUAUGAGUGGAAGCAAAUGUGAGAACUUCUUAAUAAAAAGAGAGGACUUCUUAAUGGCUUCUUUCCUAAGCAUUUUGCAUUAUGGAUGCAUUAUUUGAUACCCAAAAAAAAAAGGAAAUAGAUCUCAUGUUUUCCCAUUUUCAUUGUUCUUUUUCCGCUUCACCCAAAAUUUACCCAUUCCACAACUAUUUCUUUCAAAAUUAUAUUUAUCAUCCUAAGCAAUCCAUUCAUGCAAGUUAUACAAUCAGUUCAUGUACUCCAUUAUUCCCUUAUCCAACAAUGAUUUAAAUUUUGGAGCUAUUAUAAAAGGCCAUAUAUUUCAUCAUCUUCUAUUCAGCAGUUUUACUAAAUUAUUGCAGUGUGAACCUAAACCUGGGCAAAUUAUGGAUCAAAAGCAUUGAUACUCACUUUUUUAAAAUUCAUUUCCACCUGUGAAUUAAAGUACCUUUCCUAGUACCUCAGGAAAUUCCUAUGCCUUCAUUAAGCAAGCAUCCAUAAUGCACAUUUAGAAUCCUAAUUCUUGAGUACUACUAUUACCAUUUUUUUUUUCAUGUAGACCACUUACAACCUCACAUCCUCACAUCCUAUUGAGCAUCCCUUAACAGUGAUAGGUAUGGAGGAAUUCAUAUUCAAAAAUAAGAAAUCUUCCUUCAAAUUUUAAUAGCAUUCAACAUAAUUUCACAUAGUUAAGAUAGUCUAAUAAUUUAAAUUGGCUGUUCACUACUAAUUUUUCUCAAUCAUCAAAGAUUGAACGCUAUGUCAAGAAUUCAUAAAUAAUAUCAACAUGCAAUUGCAUAUUGAUUAAGAAUAAAAACCAUCAGUUGCUCAUGCGAGAGAAAGAAAGAGAGACCUUUGGCGGAGGUGCUGAGUUCACUGGGGAGCUUGGAGACAAGGCAAGAGGAAGCGAUUGCACUAUGGACAGGCAAAAGUGAGCUCAAUUCUCGC